CACCAGACUCCUACGGGAGGCAGCAGUGGGGGAUAUUGCACAAUGGGGGAAACCCUGAUGCAGCGACGCCGCGUGGGUGAAGAAGUAUUUCGGUAUGUAAAGCCCUAUCAGCAGGGAAGAAAGAAGACGGUACCUGACUAAGAAGCCCCGGCUAACUACGUGCCAGCAGCCGCGGUAAUACGUAGGGGGCGAGCGUUAUCCGGAUUCACUGGGUGUAAAGGGAGCGUAGACGGCCGUGCAAGCCAGGAGUGAAAGGCCGGGGCCCAACCCCGGGACUGCUCUUGGAACUGUGCGGCUGGAGUGCGGGAGGGGGAGGCGGAAUUCCUGGUGUAGCGGUGAAAUGCGUAGAUAUCAGGAGGAACACCGGCGGCGAAGGCGGCCUGCUGGACUGCAACUGACGUUGAGGCCCGAAAGCGUGGGGAGCAAACAGGAUUAGAUACCCCGGUAAUG
This 450-nucleotide ribosomal RNA is filed under the name uncultured bacterium. RNAcentral's name for it is "bacterial SSU rRNA". It matches the Rfam family "Bacterial small subunit ribosomal RNA", at positions 329 to 793 of the family's 1533-position model. The record is from RNAcentral.